Molecule: ribosomal RNA, 462 nt
Filed under: uncultured bacterium
Lineage: Bacteria
Description: partial 16S ribosomal RNA
Rfam family: Bacterial small subunit ribosomal RNA
Source: RNAcentral
GACGAGCGCUGGCGGCGUGCUUAACACAUGCAAGUCGAACGGUGAAGCCCUUCGGGGUGGCUCAGUGGCGAACGGGUGAGUAACACGUGAGCAACCUGCCCCUGGCUCUGGGACAACCACUGGAAACGGUGGCUAAUACCGGAUACGACCCGCCUCGCCAUCGAGUGUGGGUGGAAAGUUUUUCGGCUGGGGAUGGGCUCGCGGCCUAUCAGCUUGUUGGUGAGGUGAAGGCUCACCAAGGCGACGACGGGUAGCCGGCCUGAGAGGGCGACCGGCCACACUGGGACUGAGACACGGCCCAGACUCCUACGGGAGGCAGCAGUGGGGAAUAUUGCACAAUGGGCGAAAGCCUGAUGCAGCGACGCCGCGUGAGGGAUGACGGCCUUCGGGUUGUAAACCUCUUUCAGCUCCGAAGAAGCGAAAGUGACGGUAGGAGCAGAAGAAGCACCGGCUAACUACGUG